AAAAAGUUUUCUUUUCUGGAGUCCCAAACGAGGUGCGGGACGGAAGAGGGGGUGAAGGCCAGAGGCUCGGGGCUUCAAGACCGCUGUCUGGAGUCCCCCGUUCCAGGCCAUGUCGGGGCCCACCUGGCUGCCCCCGAAGCAGCCGGAGCCCGCCAGAGCCCCUCAGGGGAGGGCGAUCCCCCGCGGCACCCCGGGGCCACCACCGGCCCACGGAGCAGUGUUACCAGGCCCCAGGGGGACCAGAGGAUCGGGGGCCGGCCUGGGUGGGGUCCCAUGGAGUACUCCAGCACACGCAGGGGCUCCCUGCAGACAGGGGGGGCCUUCGCCCUGGAAGCCUGGACGCCGAGAUAGACUUGCUGAGCAGCACGCUGGCCGAGCUGAAUGGGGGUCGGAGUCAUGCGUCACGGCGACCAGACCGACAGGCAUAUGAGCCCCCGCCACCUCCUGCCUACCGCACGGGCUCCCUGAAGCCAAAUCCAGCCUCGCCGCUCCCAGCGUCUCCCUAUGGGGGCCCCACUCCAGCCUCUUACGCUACCGCCAGCACCCCGGCUGGCCCGGCCUUCCCCGUGCAAGUGAAGGUGGCACAGCCAGUGAGGGGCUGUGGCCCACCCAGGCGGGGAGCCUCUCAGGCCUCUGGGCCCCUCCCGGGCCCCCACUUUACUCUCCCAGGCCGAGGUGAAAUCUGGGGGCCUGGCUAUAGGAGCCAGAGAGAGCCAGGGCCAGGGGCCAAAGAGGAAGCUGCUGGGGUCUCUGGCCCUGCAGGAAGAGGAAGAGGAGGCGAGCACGGGCCCCAGGUGCCCCUGAGCCAGCCUCCAGAGGAUGAGCUGGAUAGGCUGACGAAGAAGCUGGUUCACGACAUGAACCACCCGCCCAGCGGGGAGUACUUUGGUGAGCUGAGGCUGUGGGGUGGGUGGGAUGUGGGAAGGGAGGCUGGGAGACAGAGGGGACAGUGGCUUCCUGGGUCUGUGAAGACUGAUGCUGUUUCUCCCUGUCCUCAGGCCAGUGUGGUGGCUGCGGAGAAGAUGUGGUUGGGGAUGGGGCUGGGGUUGUGGCCCUUGAUCGCGUCUUUCACGUGGGCUGCUUUGUGUGUUCUACAUGCCGGGCCCAGCUUCGCGGCCAGCAUUUCUACGCUGUGGAGAGGAGGGCAUAUUGCGAGGGCUGCUACGUGGCCACCCUGGAGAAAUGUGCCACGUGCUCCCAGCCCAUCCUGGACCGGAUCCUGCGGGCUAUGGGGAAGGCCUACCACCCUGGCUGCUUCACCUGCGUGGUGUGUCACCGCGGCCUCGACGGCAUCCCCUUCACAGUGGAUGCUACGAGCCAGAUCCACUGCAUUGAGGACUUUCACAGGAAGUUUGCCCCAAGAUGCUCAGUGUGCGGUGGGGCCAUAAUGCCUGAGCCAGGUCAGGAGGAGACUGUGAGAAUUGUUGCUCUGGAUCGAAGUUUUCACAUUGGCUGUUACAAGUGCGAGGAGUGUGGGCUGCUGCUCUCCUCUGAGGGCGAGUGUCAGGGCUGCUACCCGCUGGAUGGGCACAUCUUGUGCAAGGCCUGCAGCGCCUGGCGCAUCCAGGAGCUCUCAGCCACCGUCACCACUGACUGCUGAGUCUUCCUAGAAGUACCUGCUGGGUUCUCAGUUCCAGUUCCCAUCCUUUGAUUGAUCACUCUCCCUGACAUCCACCUGUAUGACUUCGUCACCAAAUGCUGUCUCCUCUUUCUCCAAUCAAGAAAUAAUAAUCCCUCGAGUUUACAAAAC
Molecule: small RNA, 1750 nt
Filed under: Pan troglodytes (chimpanzee)
Lineage: Eukaryota; Metazoa; Chordata; Mammalia; Primates; Hominidae
Description: retained intron
Source: RNAcentral